RNAcentral lists this ribosomal RNA (2922 nucleotides) under Priestia megaterium. RNAcentral's name for it is "bacterial LSU rRNA". It matches the Rfam family "Bacterial large subunit ribosomal RNA". Lineage: Bacteria; Bacillati; Bacillota; Bacilli; Caryophanales; Bacillaceae. The record is from RNAcentral.
GAAAGGGCGCACGGUGAAUGCCUUGGCACUAGGAGCCGAUGAAGGACGGGACUAACACCGAUAUGCUUCGGGGAGCUGUAAGUGAGCUUUGAUCCGGAGAUUUCCGAAUGGGGAAACCCACUGUUCGUAAUGGAACAGUAUCUUUAUCUGAAUACAUAGGAUAUUGAAGGCAGACCCGGGGAACUGAAACAUCUAAGUACCCGGAGGAAGAGAAAGCAAAUGCGAUUUCCUGAGUAGCGGCGAGCGAAACGGAAUUAGCCCAAACCAAGAGGCUUGCCUCUUGGGGUUGUAGGACACUCUAUACGGAGUUACAAAGGAACGAAGUAAAUGAAGCGACCUGGAAAGGUCCGUCGAAGAAGGUAACAACCCUGUAGUUGAAACUUCGUUCCCUCUUGAGUGGAUCCUGAGUACGGCGGAACACGUGAAAUUCCGUCGGAAGCUGGGAGGACCAUCUCCCAAGGCUAAAUACUACCUAGUGACCGAUAGUGAACCAGUACCGUGAGGGAAAGGUGAAAAGCACCCCGGAAGGGGAGUGAAAGAGAUCCUGAAACCGUGUGCCUACAAGUAGUCAGAGCCCGUUAACGGGUGAUGGCGUGCCUUUUGUAGAAUGAACCGGCGAGUUACGAUCCCAUGCAAGGUUAAGCUGAUAAGGCGGAGCCGUAGCGAAAGCGAGUCUGAAUAGGGCGUUUAGUAUGUGGUUGUAGACCCGAAACCAGGUGAUCUACCAUGUCCAGGGUGAAGUUCAGGUAACACUGAAUGGAGGCCCGAACCCACGCACGUUGAAAAGUGCGGGGAUGAGGUGUGGGUAGCGGAGAAAUUCCAAUCGAACCUGGAGAUAGCUGGUUCUCUCCGAAAUAGCUUUAGGGCUAGCCUCAUGUUGUGAGAGUCUUGGAGGUAGAGCACUGAUUGGACUAGGGGCCCCCAACGGGUUACCGAAUUCAGUCAAACUCCGAAUGCCAAAGACUUAUCCAUGGGAGUCAGACUGCGAGUGAUAAGAUCCGUAGUCAAAAGGGAAACAGCCCAGACCACCAGCUAAGGUCCCCAAGUAUACGUUAAGUGGAAAAGGAUGUGGAGUUGCUUAGACAACCAGGAUGUUGGCUUAGAAGCAGCCACCAUUUAAAGAGUGCGUAAUAGCUCACUGGUCGAGUGACUCUGCGCCGAAAAUGUACCGGGGCUAAACGUAUCACCGAAGCUGUGGAUUGACAUCUUAGAUGUCAGUGGUAGGAGAGCGUUCUAAGUGCUGUGAAGUCAGACCGUAAGGACUGGUGGAGCGCUUAGAAGUGAGAAUGCCGGUAUGAGUAGCGAAAGACAAGUGAGAAUCUUGUCCACCGAAUGCCUAAGGUUUCCUGAGGAAGGCUCGUCCGCUCAGGGUUAGUCGGGACCUAAGCCGAGGCUGAAAAGCGUAGGCGAUGGCCAACAGGUUGAUAUUCCUGUACCACCUCCCCGCCGUUUGAGUAAUGGGGGGACGCAGUAGGAUAGGGUAAGCGCGCUGCUGGAUAUGCGCGUUCAAGCAGUUAGGCUGAUGAGUAGGCAAAUCCGCUCAUCAUAAAGGCUGAGCUGUGAUGACGAGGGAAUUAUAGUACCGAAGUUCCUGAUUCCACACUGCCAAGAAAAGCCUCUAGCGAGGCGGGAGGUGCCCGUACCGCAAACCGACACAGGUAGGCGAGGAGAGAAUCCUAAGGUGAUCGAGAGAACUCUCGUUAAGGAACUCGGCAAAAUGACCCCGUAACUUCGGGAGAAGGGGUGCUCUGGUAGGGUGUAUAGCCCGAGAGAGCCGCAGUGAAUAGGCCCAGGCGACUGUUUAGCAAAAACACAGGUCUCUGCGAAGCCGCAAGGCGAAGUAUAGGGCUGACGCCUGCCCGGUGCUGGAAGGUUAAGAGGAGGGGUUAUCCUUUGGGAGAAGCUCUGAAUCGAAGCCCCAGUAAACGGCGGCCGUAACUAUAACGGUCCUAAGGUAGCGAAAUUCCUUGUCGGGUAAGUUCCGACCCGCACGAAAGGCGUAACGAUCUGGGCACUGUCUCAACGAGAGACUCGGUGAAAUUAUAGUACCUGUGAAGAUGCAGGUUACCCGCGACAGGACGGAAAGACCCCGUGGAGCUUUACUGUAGCCUGAUAUUGAAUUUUGGUACAGCUUGUACAGGAUAGGUAGGAGCCUGAGAAGCCGGAGCGCUAGCUUCGGUGGAGGCGUCGGUGGGAUACUACCCUGGCUGUAUUGAAAUUCUAACCCGCGGCCCUGAUCGGGCCGGGAGACAGUGUCAGGUGGGCAGUUUGACUGGGGCGGUCGCCUCCUAAAAUGUAACGGAGGCGCCCAAAGGUUCCCUCAGAAUGGUUGGAAAUCAUUCGUAGAGUGUAAAGGCACAAGGGAGCUUGACUGCGAGACCUACAAGUCGAGCAGGGACGAAAGUCGGGCUUAGUGAUCCGGUGGUUCCGCAUGGAAGGGCCAUCGCUCAACGGAUAAAAGCUACCCCGGGGAUAACAGGCUUAUCUCCCCCAAGAGUCCACAUCGACGGGGAGGUUUGGCACCUCGAUGUCGGCUCAUCGCAUCCUGGGGCUGUAGUCGGUCCCAAGGGUUGGGCUGUUCGCCCAUUAAAGCGGUACGCGAGCUGGGUUCAGAACGUCGUGAGACAGUUCGGUCCCUAUCCGUCGUGGGCGUAGGAAAUUUGAGAGGAGCUGUCCUUAGUACGAGAGGACCGGGAUGGACACACCGCUGGUGUACCAGUUGUCUUGCCAAAGGCAUCGCUGGGUAGCUAUGUGUGGACGGGAUAAGUGCUGAAAGCAUCUAAGCAUGAAGCCCCCCUCAAGAUGAGAUUUCCCAUAGCGCAAGCUAGUAAGAUCCCUGAAAGAUGAUCAGGUUGAUAGGUCAGAGGUGGAAGCGUGGCGACAUGUGUAGCUGACUGAUACUAAUCGAUCGAGGACUUAACC